CCUACGGGAGGCUGCAGUGAGGAAUAUUGGUCAAUGGGCGCGAGCCUGAACCAGCCAAGUAGCGUGAAGGAUGACUGCCCUACGGGUUGUAAACUUCUUUUAUAAAGGAAUAAAGUGAGGCACGUGUGCCUUUUUGUAUUUACUUUAUGAAUAAGGAUCGGCUAACUCCGUGUCAGCAGCCUCGGUAAUACGGCGGAUCCGAUCGUUAUCCGGAUUUAUUGGGUUUAAAGGGAGCGUAGAUGGGUUGUUAAGUCAGUUGGGAAAGUUUGCGUCUCAACCGUAAAAGUGCAAUUGAUACUGGCAGUCUUGAGUACAGUUGAGGUAGGCGGAAUGCGUGGUGUAGCGGUGAAAUGCUUAG
This 358-nucleotide ribosomal RNA is filed under the name uncultured bacterium. Its description in RNAcentral is "partial 16S ribosomal RNA". It matches the Rfam family "Bacterial small subunit ribosomal RNA", at positions 338 to 693 of the family's 1533-position model. The record is from RNAcentral.